This 1377-nucleotide long non-coding RNA is filed under the name Ursus americanus (American black bear). RNAcentral's name for it is "lncRNA (ENSUAMG00000021070.1)". Lineage: Eukaryota; Metazoa; Chordata; Mammalia; Carnivora; Ursidae. The record is from RNAcentral.
CCCCCCCCCAGCCUAAGGAGCCCCUUCCCCUGUGUGGCUAGAGAACCAGUCCCCAGUGCCCAUGGGCCAGGCCCCCGCUGGCAUGCCACCUCCCCCAACCAUCCUUGGAUGCCCCCUCCCUCGGGGGGGUUGGAGGGACCAUGACUGCAGCCAGACUUCUGUCCUGCCCCCACCCCCGCCACCUCUCGUCCCACUGGGUGUUAGCCACAGCCUGUCCCUGUGAAUCCUGGGCUCUGCUGUGCCCCUGGCCUCAUGGCUGGUGUGGGCGCUGCCACCUAGGCCCGUUGCUUCUCCGCCUCUUCAUAUCAUUGCUCAUCUUCACGAACCACCUCCUUCCACGAAAACCACGCUGCAGGUCAGCCCUGUCCUCGGCACACUGGCUGCGACCUGGCUGGGUCGGCCCAAGAACCAGACGGAAGAGGCCGAGGCAGCCCCCGGAGGACCGCCGCCCUGCCCCACUGAGCCCGCCCUGCUGUUGGUCGCCUGGUACCUCAUGUCCAGCCCUGCGCUUCUCCACUUCCUCCUGGUUUGGGUUGAAGACGCCAUCCGGAAUCCUCCAUGGAAGGAGACAGCGCGACACAUGACCCAGCACCCUCCAGCAUUCAAAUCGGCAGACUAGGAUGGAAGUGCCCUUGUGAGCUGGGGGGCCCUUCAAAGGGCCAAGGAAAAAACGCGGGCCGAGGGACCAGCCUCUCAAACGGGCUUCGAGCUCCAAUGACCUUCGCUCACCCCCUUGAAAUGUCUGGAAAACAGAAUGGGCAGAUUUUCUGUCUUCAAAGUUUCCGGCUAAACCUCUUCAAGUUCUUUAUUGUUUCGGACUGAGACACUCAGCAAUGGUAAUGGGUAGUUUCUUUUGUAUUGGCCUUGAAAGGCCAAAAUAUUUUCAUAUUGCUACAGACAAAGCCGUCUAUUUAGAAAUGAACGCCAUGUCUGUCGUUUCCCACUGGGGACACUGUGUACAACGUGUGUGUGUGUCUCUGUGUACUCUAGGGUCUUGAAACAGGUUUCUCAUGGGGAUGGCCAUUCACCGGGGUCCAGGGGGAAGCGCCUGCCCUGCCAAAGGGGCCUGGGGAACCCGGCCCUAAUUGCACAUCUAUCCUGGUUGGUCUAGGACGUGCACCCCGGGAGGGUCUGGCUGCACUAAUAUGGACUCUGCCUGCAUCUGCCAUGUGUAUGUGUUAGGGACUGUGGCUUGUGCCUCCGUGGUCAGCUUGGUGGGAGGAAGCAGGAGACUCUAAGAUACUGUGGGUGUUCUGUUUCUCUUGUUGCGAGGUCAUUUCACUGGUAUCUGUUACAUGAUCCAAAUAAUGGCCCAUACAUGGAUGAAUGAAGGCACAAAGGAGUGGAUCAACUAAUAAACAGGUAGAGAAGUGAGCA